This is a non-coding RNA of Parasteatoda tepidariorum (common house spider), 478 nucleotides long. The record is from RefSeq and is a predicted model, not a curated record. Lineage: Eukaryota; Metazoa; Arthropoda; Arachnida; Araneae; Theridiidae.
GUAUCUCAAUUUAUUUUGGUACUUCAUUUAUGGCAACGCCGAUGUAAAGACUUCUCUUUUUCGCGAAUUUCGCUGCAUCUCUUUCACGUGGCGGCGUAUUAAAUUCAUAUUUCAAAUAAUAAGAAAUAGUGGCUAUUAUUCAUUCACAAAAAACUAGCAAUGCCUUUAGCUAAAGAUCUAUUACAUCCCAGUCCUGAUGAGGAGAGGAGGAAAUGUAAACUAAAACGCUUAGUGCAGCACCCUAAUUCGUUUUUCAUGGAUGUCAAAUGUCCUGGUUGUUACAAGAUCACUACUGUUUUCAGUCAUGCGCAGACCGUAGUAUUAUGUGUCGGAUGUUCAACUGUCCUCUGUCAACCAACUGGAGGAAGGGCAAGACUAACAGAAGGCUGCUCUUUUCGGAAAAAACAGCAAUGAAUGUGUAAAUGAAAAAAAAGUGUUUUUGUUUUUUUUAUAUGCCAUUAAAGCUGGUGUAAAUUAC